RNAcentral lists this ribosomal RNA (4944 nucleotides) under Triticum aestivum (bread wheat). Its description in RNAcentral is "partial small subunit ribosomal RNA". The record is from RNAcentral. Lineage: Eukaryota; Viridiplantae; Streptophyta; Magnoliopsida; Poales; Poaceae.
GGCUGGGUGAGGUGCGUCCAUGUGCGAUUGGGAUUUUUCCAGUCCACUCCUCGCGCGCGACGUGCGUCCUGGGACCGCCCAAUCCCCGAGCCCUCACCCCUUCUUCCUCCUCUCUCCCACGUCAGCCGCCAUAGCAAGAACCGUAGCCCCCUUCCCUAGAUCCCCGUUGCCGCCGCCCCUCCCGCAUCUGCUCUCUCCUUCCUCUCUCUGUUGUCAGCCGCCGCUACAACUCCUCCCUUCCCCGUCUUUGUCCGUGCAGCCGACCAACUUAGCUCCGCCCGGCGAUCGCUGCCUCCCCAGUUCAUCAUCCCUCCCUUGCUGCUCUACUUUCACCAGGGACGGACGAAUCCAUGCACCCCGUCGCCUAGAACCGCUAGGUGAAGAAGAUGGACGAGCGCGAGGGUCGGAGGAGGCCACAAGGCGACGGAUCUAGCGCGGGAUUACGGGUUUCAAGACCCUCGUGGUUGACCUCCUCUUCGCUUCUUCCUCGUACUACUGCAUCCCUUCGGUUCUUCCCCUCUAUAAUGUGAUGCAGAUUACUUGUGAUUUUCUGCAAAAUCAACUUGUCAAGGAGUGGUGUCAAUGGAAGGCGUGACAGUCAUUCUGGUGACAUAUGCACAUCAGGUCGGCACCGCUGUUGUCACUGGGCAGAAUGGAUGACUGGCCAUGGGCAGGCUCGGAGCCCUCUGCGAACAGGUUUGCAUGUUCAGUCAAUGGGAAAUUGGUAGCAACUUUCCUGCACUUUUUGGAUGCAUUGCUUUGAUAGUUUUGCUUGCGGUGCCUAAAUUACAGCCUGCCAAUGGCGUGGAGUUUAGGUGGCUAGCCCAUGCAUUGGGAAGAGUUUGGGCGGGUCGCGGUUGAUAUCGGACCUGUAAAUGAAGAAAUUUUCAUUGCAGUGGGCAUAAUUAAUGGUGUGGUGGGGCUUAGUUGCGCGCUCGUUGGUCUGCCCAGGGCGAAGGAGUUCACCGUGGUGGACAUGCCACUCCUGGAGCGGCUCUUCAUGUUCCUGCCGCCUAAUGUUGUGGUGGGGCUUAGGAUCGCUUGUGCUCCCAACCCGCGGGUGCUCGCCUACCUAGACACAAAGAGCUCGCAUGCUACAGAUUGGUGUCAGCAUCAUUGGGGCACAUCUCUCUGUAACUAUCAAUGACUGGUGGUGAGUUCAGCGGCUGCCGCCUCCUCUUCUCUUCGAAUCCAGUAAUCCCUCUCGUGAGUGCAUCAAGGGAUGUCAUGCCCUCAACUAGCGAGUUUAUGAUUCAGACCAUUCCAUAACAAAAUGCAUAUAUGGCCUCACGAUCAUUUUACAAAAUAGAAGUAUAGAGGAAUUAAUAUAUAGAAGUUAUGACCAUCGUGUAGAGUGAUCUCUGAAGAUGGAUUGCAGAUAAGUAUAUUAACAAUUUAGUAUUGACCCUAUUUCUGUUGAUACUUUACUUUACUAAAUCUUUCGUAUUAACCAUAAGCAUAAAGGAUAUCAUGUUGGGUUGCAUUGCCAUGUAAGGAAUGGGUAUCCUAAACCUGAGAAAGUACCAACGCAGAUGAUAGUUUCUUAGGAAUAUCAUCGUGUUGUUACAGCAAAGAUGGCUAGCUGUAGCACCUUCUAUAAUUCAGUUUACUAUUAGGGAUAUCAUUCAAUCUCUGAACUAUGUAUUACCGUUAUAAAUUUGGCUAGGGAAUCUCUCAUUUUAAUAUUGCAAUGAAGUGGUUGGGAUGGAGAGGGUUUUUUACUUGACUACUUUCUGACUAUAUACCUUUCUGUUUUGUGCAAGUACAAAGUAUUAGUAAUUUCAGUCUGUCCAAUUUUUGCAAGGAUAAUUGUGUGAGUCUGGUCCAAACUUUAAGACAAUCACUUAAUACAUUCAUGGGAUCACCAACUUUUGGCGUUUUUUGAGACUAGCUAGGUGGGAUCAUGAAUUCCAAGAAGACUGUGGUAAUUAUCCUACUUUGUUUGCAAGAUUGGUUUCUAAAAAUAUCAUGGUAGUUGUAAUUUCAGGUUGCUGCUGAUUUGACUGAAUAUGUUUUGAUGGUUUUUUAAUCUUUCAUCUUUACUGUGUGUAAAAGUAACUAAUUCAUUCCUAAUUGAAUCUUUCAAUGGUUGAUGGGAACACUACAGAUCUUGCUUCUCUGCUUUUUAAUGUUUCAUAUGUUUUCAUGUACAAACCGAGGCGUGCGGGCACCAUGUGUUUCUAUUGCAGAGGUUGAUCACCGUGUGUAUGGCUUGCUGGUUGCGCCAGUAGAGUUUCUCAGAAUGUUGUUUGUCCAGUCUUUGUUAAUAAUGUGAUCAUCACAGAACUAAAAGACAAUGUUUGGUACUGAAUUGCAGUUCGCUUUGUUAAUUUCUGCGACACCAUUUCAUAUUUACAUUUGAAUUGUACUUACUUAGUUUGUAAGGCCUUAUAGUUUCAAUGCUUUAUUUGCUUGUGGAACUACGGCUCUGUUACAUUUUGAUGAUUGUAUAUUUUUGUAUAUGAAAUUUGUAGAACAAAAGUAAAAAAAUGGAGGGCCUAGCUUACUUUGGUAUUAAGGGACAAGGAGCUGUAGCGUCAUGGAUUGGAGCGAAGGGGAGGUCCUGACGACUGAAGAUGGUGUGUAGGGGAGGAGCUCGAAGCGGCACUCCCAUGGAGGGAUGGCUGAUGUCAAGGUGCUAAAAUCUUAUGUGUCAAGGGCAUUGUGAUGGCGCGAUCCAUGUCUCCUGCUAGCGCUCGACGUCCCGUAGCCCCAAAGAGGAGGGCUCCAAGGUUGGACAACAAGCUUCACUGGAUGAAAGCAUUUCCCUUCUAAAACAGAGUGCUGCUGAUAUGAAUGCACAAGUUAGUCUUGAUACUAAGAUGGUCAUGGAAUUGCUUGAUCUAUACUAGGUCAACAUGUCAGCCAACCACUUAAAAAUAAUCAUUUGCAUUUCUUCCUCUAAACUGUGAAACCUGACGAGUGAUGACGCAUCAGCAAUUUAGCAAUAGAAGAUGUCAGUGAACACGAGUGCCAGUCAAGAGCAAUGAAACGCUAGAUACUUUAGAGUGUAAUUUUAUAUAAGAAUAAAUAAAUGACACUUAAGUCAUUAAGCAAUUGUUGUUGAGGUAUUGUCUCACCCUUUAUCUGCUCUCUUUUAAACUGUGGAAUGCUAUGGGCUGGAGCUACAGGGGAGGAGGGAGGUAAGCGUGAAUGCAAUGAAUAUUGUUCGGAUAAAAAAUUGGGUGCAAACUGAGUACUGACGGUGAGACUUAUUCAUUUGUUUAUCCUUUUGCCCUUUUAAUCAAGAACAAUGUUCAGAGCUUACAUGGUUGCUGAAAUUUAAAUCUAUGAAAUAGAAAUAUUAAUACCAUACAAUGAUCAGUGCAGAGUAGGAUAGUUAUUGAGUUCUUCCUGAGUUUUCAUUGAGAAAAGAUUGGAACUGUGUGAUUUGUUCUGAACUUCUAAUACAAAGUAAAGAUGGUGUGCAUGGGAGGAGCUUGAAGUGGCAUUCCCAUGGAGGGAUGGCUGAUGGCAAGGUGCUAAAAUCUUAUGUGUCAAGGGCAUUGUGAUGGCGCGAUCCAUGUCUCCUGCGAGCGCUCAGCAUCCCGGAGCCCCAAAGAGCUGGACAACAAGCUUCACUGGAUGAAAGUGUUUCCCUUCUAAAACGGAGUGCUGCUGACAUGAAUGCACAAGUUAGUCUUGAUACUAAGAUUGUCAUGGAAUUGCUUGAUCUAUGCUAGGUCAAUAUGUCAGCCAACCACUUAAAAAUAAUCAAUUGCAUUUCUUCCUCUGAACUGUGAAACCUGACGAGUGAUGACGCAUCAGCAAUUUAGCAAUAGAAGAUGUCAGUGAACACGAGUACUCAGUCAAGAGCAAUGAAGCCUAGAUACUUUAGAGUGUAAUUUUAUAUAAGAAUAACUAAAUGACACUUAAGUCAUUGAGCAAUUGUUGUUGAGGUAUUGUCUCACCCUUUAUCUGCUCUGUUUUAAACUGUGUAAUGCUAUGGGCUGGAGCUACAGGGGAAGAGGGAGGUAAGCGUGGAUGCAAUGAAUAUUGUUCGGAUAAAAUAUUGUCUUCAGCCAUCUGUCUCGCUCUGGUUUUCCUGUAGUGUGGAGUUUCAACUCUCGAUCUGGUCCGCGUGUUAUUGAUUCAGCUGCCUCACCAUUGCAGGAAAUUAUUGUGUGCUUUAGAUUGGGAUGCUGAACCAGAUGAAAAAUGUCACUGCAGCUUUGAGUGCAGUCAUAGGUUUGAAUUGUAAACUGUAGCUGCUUAAAACUUUGGUAUAAAAUAAAGCCCUUACUGGUAGAUGAGGCACGUUAUUAGCAACGUUUCACAUUUUCUUACUUGCAAUACUAUGAUUGCCUGUUCAGGUCUUCCAAGACCUAAAUCAUCAUAAAUCCAGCACACACAACACCUUUUUUAAAACUUCGGUUACCCUGAUUAAGCCUCCGUUCAAUUUUCUUAUAUGGAGGGGUUAGAAAUAGUUACCUUGCUUGCUUGCUCGAAACUAAAUCUACUGAUAAACGGAAUUUUUUCAAACCACACAUGGUGUUUAGUGGGUCUCAUGAUGGAUUGGGUUGUGGUAGUAGUUCUUGGGUGCAAUAUCUAUCUUGAUAAAGCGAUCGAUCAGGGCGCAUCGGAGGCAGAAGAAGAGAAAAUGUUUCGGGUGUCUGUGGUGUUGAACAUUCACUGUUUAUGUGCUUUGUACAUGCACGACCAGUUCAGUAACUAGAUGGCCUUUUCUACUGUACUGGUGCUGCUACUUUUCACAUGCUAGCUUAUUUGAAAAGCGCCAACAGUGUGUGCCACUUGUAAACAGUCCAUGUUGAAAGAAUAGAAGCAGAAGUGUGGAGAUAAUGUAAUUGGUCAGUCAGGAAAUUCAGUCUCAAUGAGCUCAACUAAUGACAUGUGUGAGUUGAGCCUGAGGUGUUUUCCAAGUAACAACAGUAUUUUACUUUCCUUUUCAUGUUUGUGGUCGAUGGUACUUACAUGUUGUUCAGG